GUGACAGAGCUGUAGACCACAUCCCUUCAGUCACCUGGAACAAGAACAGCCAGACAGGAGCCAGGCACACAUCCCCACAUUAGCCCAGUACGUCUCAACCCUAUUUUGAAUUUUGAAGGAAUUGCCACUAGGGGGAAAAGAGAUAGUUUGGUCUUCAUGCCCAUUUAAUCCUUCACCUGC
Molecule: small RNA, 180 nt
Filed under: Parus major (Great Tit)
Lineage: Eukaryota; Metazoa; Chordata; Aves; Passeriformes; Paridae
Description: TUC338 (ENSPMJG00000019456.1)
Source: RNAcentral